This 72-nucleotide transfer RNA is filed under the name Saccoglossus kowalevskii. RNAcentral's name for it is "tRNA-Glu". It matches the Rfam family "tRNA". From Rfam's summary of the family: Transfer RNA (tRNA) molecules are approximately 80 nucleotides in length. Their secondary structure includes four short double-helical elements and three loops (D, anti-codon, and T loops). Lineage: Eukaryota; Metazoa; Hemichordata; Enteropneusta; Harrimaniidae. The record is from RNAcentral.
UUCCAUAUGGUCUAGUGGUUAGGAUUUGGCGCUUUCACCGCCAAUGCCCGGGUUCAAUUCCCGGUGUUGGAA